RNAcentral lists this ribosomal RNA (468 nucleotides) under uncultured bacterium. RNAcentral describes it as "partial 16S ribosomal RNA". It matches the Rfam family "Bacterial small subunit ribosomal RNA", at positions 28 to 507 of the family's 1533-position model. The record is from RNAcentral.
GACGAACGCUGGCGGCGUGCUUAACACAUGCAAGUCGAACGGAAAGGCCCUGCUUUUGUGGGGUGCUCGAGUGGCGAACGGGUGAGUAACACGUGAGUAACCUGCCCUUGACUUUGGGAUAACUUCAGGAAACUGGGGCUAAUACCGGAUAGGAGCUCCUGCUGCAUGGUGGGGGUUGGAAAGUUUCGGCGGUUGGGGAUGGACUCGCGGCUUAUCAGCUUGUUGGUGGGGUAGUGGCUUACCAAGGCUUUGACGGGUAGCCGGCCUGAGAGGGUGACCGGCCACAUUGGGACUGAGGUACGGCCCAGACUCCUACGGGAGGCAGCAGUGGGGAAUAUUGCACAACGGGCGGAAGCCUGAUGCAGCAACGCCGCGUGCGGGAUGACGGCCUUCGGGUUGUAAACCGCUUUCGCCUGUGACGAAGCGUGAGUGACGGUAAUGGGUAAAGAAGCACCGGCUAACUACGUG